Molecule: small nucleolar RNA, 112 nt
Filed under: Salix viminalis (osier)
Lineage: Eukaryota; Viridiplantae; Streptophyta; Magnoliopsida; Malpighiales; Salicaceae
Rfam family: Small nucleolar RNA snoR113
Source: RNAcentral
UGGAGAUGAUGAUAAUAAGGCCGGACUUACGGCUGCUACCAGAAAGUUAAUUUUUUCAUGGUUGGUAGGAGAUUGAUGAACUUCUCAAGUUAAGGUGUCUGUUCCGAGCCAU